CCUCCUUUACUUGGUGGGGAUAAGGGAUGUGGUCCCACUCCCUGUUAUGAGUGGCGGCAGAGGGAACGGGCUACAGCCAUCCCAACGUCAUGUCUUCAGCUCCAGUAGUUUCCUGUCUGCUGGUUCUGUCCUCAAACGCUGGGACAUGG
Small nucleolar RNA from Nannospalax galili (Upper Galilee mountains blind mole rat), 149 nucleotides. The record is from Ensembl. Lineage: Eukaryota; Metazoa; Chordata; Mammalia; Rodentia; Spalacidae.